MicroRNA precursor from Taeniopygia guttata (zebra finch), 81 nucleotides. The record is from Ensembl. NCBI's taxonomy places the organism in Eukaryota, Metazoa, Chordata, Aves, Passeriformes, Estrildidae.
GGAGCACUUAAAAGGAAAGGUGUGGAUCCAUCAGAGGGAAGCGGGAAUCGAUGGAUCCAUCCUUUCCUUUCAUGCUGCUUC